Molecule: ribosomal RNA, 2882 nt
Filed under: Burkholderia cenocepacia HI2424
Lineage: Bacteria; Pseudomonadati; Pseudomonadota; Betaproteobacteria; Burkholderiales; Burkholderiaceae
Description: bacterial LSU rRNA
Rfam family: Bacterial large subunit ribosomal RNA
Source: RNAcentral
GGUCAAGCGAACAAGUGCAUGUGGUGGAUGCCUUGGCGAUCACAGGCGAUGAAGGACGCGGUAGCCUGCGAAAAGCUACGGGGAGCUGGCAAACGAGCUUUGAUCCGUAGAUGUCCGAAUGGGGAAACCCACUCCUUUUGGAGUAUCCAUGGCUGAAUACAUAGGCCAUGUGAAGCGAACGCGGUGAACUGAAACAUCUAAGUAACCGCAGGAAAAGAAAUCAACCGAGAUUCCCAAAGUAGUGGCGAGCGAAAUGGGAUGAGCCUUGCACUCUUUAUUUGUAUUGUUAGCCGAACGCUCUGGAAAGUGCGGCCAUAGCAGGUGAUAGCCCUGUAGGCGAAAACAGUAUGAAAGAACUAGGUGUGCGACAAGUAGGGCGGGACACGUGAAAUCCUGUCUGAAGAUGGGGGGACCAUCCUCCAAGGCUAAAUACUCGUGAUCGACCGAUAGUGAACCAGUACCGUGAGGGAAAGGCGAAAAGAACCCCGGGAGGGGAGUGAAAUAGAUCCUGAAACCGCAUGCAUACAAACAGUCGGAGCCUCGCAAGGGGUGACGGCGUACCUUUUGUAUAAUGGGUCAGCGACUUACGUUCAGUAGCAAGCUUAACCGUAUAGGGCAGGCGUAGCGAAAGCGAGUCCGAAUAGGGCGUUCAGUUGCUGGGCGUAGACCCGAAACCAGGUGAUCUAUCCAUGGCCAGGAUGAAGGUGCGGUAACACGUACUGGAGGUCCGAACCCACUAACGUUGAAAAGUUAGGGGAUGAGCUGUGGAUAGGGGUGAAAGGCUAAACAAACCUGGAAAUAGCUGGUUCUCUCCGAAAACUAUUUAGGUAGUGCCUCGUGUCUCACCUUCGGGGGUAGAGCACUGUCAUGGUUGGGGGGUCUAUUGCAGAUUACCCCGCCAUAGCAAACUCCGAAUACCGAAGAGUGCAAUCACGGGAGACAGACAUCGGGUGCUAACGUCCGGUGUCAAGAGGGAAACAACCCAGACCGCCAGCUAAGGUCCCCAAAUAUAGCUAAGUGGGAAACGAAGUGGGAAGGCUAAAACAGUCAGGAGGUUGGCUUAGAAGCAGCCACCCUUUAAAGAAAGCGUAAUAGCUCACUGAUCGAGUCGUCCUGCGCGGAAGAUGUAACGGGGCUAAGCUAUAUACCGAAGCUGCGGAUGCGAGCUUGCUCGCAUGGUAGGAGAGCGUUCCGUAAGCCUGCGAAGGUGCCUUGUAAAGGGUGCUGGAGGUAUCGGAAGUGCGAAUGCUGACAUGAGUAGCGAUAAAGGGGGUGAAAGGCCCCCUCGCCGUAAGCCCAAGGUUUCCUACGCAACGUUCAUCGGCGUAGGGUGAGUCGGCCCCUAAGGCGAGGCAGAAAUGCGUAGCUGAUGGGAAGCAGGUCAAUAUUCCUGCACCAUUGUUAGAUGCGAUGGGGGGACGGAUCGCGGAAGGUUGUCCGGGUGUUGGAAGUCCCGGUCGCUGCAUUGGAGAAGGCGCUUAGGCAAAUCCGGGCGCGUAAUUCAAGGGUGUGGCGCGAGCUCCUUAGGGAGCGAAGCAAUUGGAAGUGGUUCCAAGAAAAGCCUCUAAGCUUCAGUCUAACGAUGACCGUACCGCAAACCGACACAGGUGGGCGAGAUGAGUAUUCUAAGGCGCUUGAGAGAACUCGGGAGAAGGAACUCGGCAAAUUGGUACCGUAACUUCGGGAUAAGGUACGCCCUUGUAGCUUGACUGGCCUGCGCCAGGAGGGUGAAGGGGUUGCAAUAAACUGGUGGCUGCGACUGUUUAAUAAAAACACAGCACUCUGCAAACACGAAAGUGGACGUAUAGGGUGUGACGCCUGCCCGGUGCCGGAAGAUUAAAUGAUGGGGUGCAAGCUCUUGAUUGAAGUCCCGGUAAACGGCGGCCGUAACUAUAACGGUCCUAAGGUAGCGAAAUUCCUUGUCGGGUAAGUUCCGACCUGCACGAAUGGCGUAACGAUGGCCACACUGUCUCCUCCCGAGACUCAGCGAAGUUGAAGUGUUUGUGAUGAUGCAAUCUACCCGCGGCUAGACGGAAAGACCCCAUGAACCUUUACUGUAGCUUUGCAUUGGACUUUGAACCGAUCUGUGUAGGAUAGGUGGGAGGCUAUGAAACCGGAACGCUAGUUUCGGUGGAGCCGUCCUUGAAAUACCACCCUGGUUUGUUUGAGGUUCUAACCUUGGCCCGUGAUCCGGGUCGGGGACAGUGCAUGGUAGGCAGUUUGACUGGGGCGGUCUCCUCCCAAAGCGUAACGGAGGAGUACGAAGGUACGCUAGGUACGGUCGGAAAUCGUGCUGAUAGUGCAAUGGCAUAAGCGUGCUUAACUGCGAGACCGACAAGUCGAGCAGGUGCGAAAGCAGGUCAUAGUGAUCCGGUGGUUCUGUAUGGAAGGGCCAUCGCUCAACGGAUAAAAGGUACUCUGGGGAUAACAGGCUGAUACCGCCCAAGAGUUCAUAUCGACGGCGGUGUUUGGCACCUCGAUGUCGGCUCAUCUCAUCCUGGGGCUGUAGCCGGUCCCAAGGGUAUGGCUGUUCGCCAUUUAAAGAGGUACGUGAGCUGGGUUUAAAACGUCGUGAGACAGUUUGGUCCCUAUCUGCCGUGGGCGUUGGAUAUUUGAAGGGGGCUGCUCCUAGUACGAGAGGACCGGAGUGGACGAACCUCUGGUGUACCGGUUGUCACGCCAGUGGCAUCGCCGGGUAGCUAUGUUCGGAAGAGAUAACCGCUGAAAGCAUCUAAGCGGGAAACUCGCCUUAAGAUGAGAUAUCCCUGGGGACUAGAUCCCCUUGAAGGGUCGUUCGAGACCAGGACGUUGAUAGGUCAGGUGUGUAAGCGCAGUAAUGCGUUCAGCUAACUGAUACUAAUUGCCCGUAAGGCUUGAUCCUA